GCGCCGGUGGGUAGCGGCCUAGCACGCUGCCCUCUCACGGCAGUAGCGCCGGUUCGAAUCCGGUCGGGGGUA
RNAcentral lists this transfer RNA (72 nucleotides) under Streptacidiphilus pinicola. It matches the Rfam family "tRNA". From Rfam's summary of the family: Transfer RNA (tRNA) molecules are approximately 80 nucleotides in length. Their secondary structure includes four short double-helical elements and three loops (D, anti-codon, and T loops). The record is from Rfam by way of RNAcentral. Lineage: Bacteria; Bacillati; Actinomycetota; Actinomycetes; Kitasatosporales; Streptomycetaceae.